CUGUGCAGCUCCGAGGCCUUGGCCCGAGUCAGGACCAUCUUCCGCGUCAGCUUCAUGGCUACCGCCCAGGCCCGGCCGGCAGGCACCCCUGGCCUCCUGCUCCCGGGAGGGUGACGACUGCGCGGCGUGUGUCUCCAGGGGCGGGGCCCACGUCGUCAGGGGCGGAUCCUGAGCCCAUUGGCGGCGUGGCGAGGAGAGCGGGGCGGCGAGAGCGCCCUGGGGCCGCUUGGGCGCCGCUGACACGUUGGCUCUGCUCCUGCGCGUGGGCGGCCUGGGGCGCCCGGCUCUGACGCGAUUCUAACGCGACCGCGGAAGCGCGCGGCGGGCCGGGGGUGGGUGCAGGUGGCGGUCCCGGAGGCGGCCCCGUGAGGGCUGAGCUGCCGCUCCCACGAACCCAGCGGGGUGGGCUCGGUCCCACGCGCACCAUGGUCGAGUGCCUAGGCCUGUCUGUGAGCGCGGGCCUAGCGUGGAUGGGAUGGGCACUACACAGCUCCAAGUUACGGGAUUGAAACUCUUGGAAUAAACCCAGGGCAGCCCUGGGGCUGUGUUGAUUCCUUGUCGCCCUCCCUCCCUCCCAGCGUUUACAGAAAAGACGCAUUUAUGGGAAAGACGUACGAGCAGGUCCAGCAGAGCCCUUACAAGCAUUUCGGCCUUUUAGAAAUCAGGUUUCUUGCACGUCUGACACGGAUGGACCCAGCUAGAUGUCUUGCCAACGGCUCCUGUGGCCCCACUCAGAAGCCAUGCAGCACAAAAGGACCAAAAGGACAGCUAGAUUUCAUCUGGCACCCAACCAAUCAGCACUCCCCAUACCUCAGCCCCCUGCUCACGAUCUCGCACCCAGCCAAUCAGCACUCCCCAUACCUCAGCCCUCUGCUCACCAUCUCGCACCCAACCAAUCAGCACUCCCCAUACCUCAGCCCCCUGCUCACCAAACUACCUUUGAAAAACCCCUAACCUGUGAGCCUUCAGUUGUAACUGAGCAGCUCAGCAGCUGUGAAUCCAGAAUACCUGAGACAGGUCUGAAUCAGCUUAGAAAGUUUAUUUUGUCAAAGUUAAGGACGAGCCCAUGACACGGCCUCAGGGGGUCCUGACAACACGUGCCCAAGGUGACUGGGGCACAGCUUGCUUUCAUACAUUUUUAGGGAGACGUGAGACAUGAAUAUGUGUAAGAUGGAAAAAGAAGAGAAAAAGAAAAAAGUGUCCUGAGAGGUCUUCAGGCCUUGUGGUCAUUUCCAGCUCCGUUCUCGUCAUUGCUGCUCUGGGCGCCGUCGGGGCAAGGGUGUCGGCAUGGAGGUUCAUGGUGGCCACGCUGGCUGCAGUCUUCACCCUGGAGUGGCAUCCAUCACUGUCCUUUCACAUUUUAAGAGCAGUUCUGUUGUAUAAGAUGUUUCCGGAAUGCAGAUGACUCUGUGGACUCCAGAGAUGAAAAGAAGCAUGUCUCUUCCCUCAGCCCUCAGCCCACUGCUCCAGACCAGGUGUCCGCAAACUGCAGCCCGCUGGCCAGAUUGGGCCCACCACCUGUUUGCAAAUAAAGGUUUUUUUUUUUUUUGAGAUGGAGUCUUGCUCUGUCACCCAGGCUGGAGUGCAAGGGCCUGAUCUCGGCUCACUGCAACCUCCUCCUCCCGGGUUUAAGUGAUUCUCCUGCCUCAGGCUCCUGAGUAGCUGGGACUAUAGGUGUCAGGCCUCUGAGCCCAAGCUAAGCUGUCAUAUCCCCUAUGAUCUGCAUGUGUACAUCCAGGUGGCCUGAAGUAGCUGAAGAAUCACAAAAGAAGUGAAAAUGGCCGAUUCCUGCCUUAACUGAUGACAUUACCUUGUGAAAUUCCUUCUCCUGGCUCAGAAGCUCCCCCACUGAGCACCCUGUGACCCCCGCCCCUGCC
This is a long non-coding RNA of Piliocolobus tephrosceles (Ugandan red Colobus), 1877 nucleotides long. RefSeq lists it as uncharacterized. The transcript is spliced from 3 exons. The record is from RefSeq and is a predicted model, not a curated record. NCBI's taxonomy places the organism in Eukaryota, Metazoa, Chordata, Mammalia, Primates, Cercopithecidae.